RNAcentral lists this long non-coding RNA (3907 nucleotides) under Nicotiana benthamiana. Its description in RNAcentral is "long non-coding RNA (NBEN_LNC024545)". The record is from RNAcentral. Lineage: Eukaryota; Viridiplantae; Streptophyta; Magnoliopsida; Solanales; Solanaceae.
ACCACUUUUGGUCAUGAAAUCUUUCGGGCAAAUCGAUAGAAUUAUCCUGAAAACUCCAGUUUAUUCUGCAAGUAGAAUAAGGAGAAACAAAAGUAUAACUACUCAUGCAACUUGCAAAACAAUAUUUUUAUUGUUUAGUAAAGAUCAACAUAAAAGAUGUAUACAGUAAGUAGCGAAGCUACAAAUAAAUACGAUUCUCUGUAAAGAGUAUUCAAUCAUCCACACCUGUUGGAAUAUUACAUAUGUUCCAGAACUGUAUCAAAAUAAAAAUAUUCCUCUUAUUUCUACAUAGGAGAUUUCAGCUCCUUCAAAUACGUUUCUGUUCCUCUUUUUCCAUGUCAUCCACGUAAGUAAAAGAGCACACCAUCCAUGACCCAUUACUCACAGAGGUCUUUUACAGAAAGUAAUGUAAAAAAGUAAAGUAGCCAGAAAUCUAUUAGAUAAACGAAGUGGUCAAUACCACACGUUCAGACCAGAAAAUAACUUCUUCCCACAUGAAACACAGUUAUGACACGCUUUAUUCAUUUAUACUGAUAAUUUUUUCACAUACGAACAUCAAAAUAUAUUUCAAUAACAGUCGUCAGUAUGAACAUUGCUUCUGAAAUUAGAAGACAACAUCAACUACAGAUGUAACUUACAUUUAACCAAAUAAAGGAAGCUCAAGCCUAGACUGUAAACAGUAAAAGAAUCCUACUGCUCAGAAUAUAUUCCUAAGAGUCUCUAUCUCUUUAAUAAACUUUCAUCUAAUUAUUCUAUUACCAGGAUAACAAAGAUUUUGAAUUAGUUUCAAAUGCAAGGCUAUUGACAAUAGUUACAUCAACACUUAUAAUGGUAUCUUCAAAUUAUAUUUUGUUCCAUAAUUAAGACAUAAGAUAUCUUUAGAUUUUGAACAUCAAAAGAUUCUGUUGAUUAGAUCCAUGCAAGCUUGUGAGUCAUGAUAACCACAAAAUGUAGGCAGAUGAAAAAUCAUAUCUUGGACACCUUUUUGUUUCAACGGAGCGCUUUAAAUCAAUGGACUCUAUAUCUAACUUGAGAUGGUCACAAAUACUAAACAGGAUUCGACUAAGGUUAUGCACUAAGAAGAAUAGACGUCAUAAAAAACUUUUAAAUGAAAAAAUUGUUGCAGUUCGCUUCCACCAAUAGUGUUUGUGUUAUGCUGUGGGAAUUAUUUUGUUGUAUUUAUCUUUUAAACUAUUUGAAAGAUAGUUUGUUAUAAUUAAGUUGGAAAAGUGGGGCUUGUCCCACAUCGGUGGUAUAAGGCCACUUUGUGUGCCUUUUAAGUCCUUGUCCUUUUAUGUGUUUAAUUUAGAACACAUACUUUUAUAUAUGUGUAAAUACAUAUAUAUUAUAUUAUAUAUAUUAAUAUUAAAGAUUUGGACUUGGACUUGGGGCUUGGGCGCGGGCUGGACCUAAAAUAAAUAUUUUAUUUAUAUUUAUUUUACAAUUAAAUCUGUUUUAUUUGAAAUUUAAAUUUUAAAUUUAUUUGAAUAUACAGAUGCAUUUGUUUAUGAAAGAACACAUCUUUUUUGAAAAGGUCCGAUGAUUGCCCAUAAAUAGAAGUUUUUCCAACAAAGUGGAAUGAAAAAUCUGCACUAUAUUCUUGGCUUGUUGUAUCCUGAAGAAGAUUGUUUGUAUCCCCAAUUUGUAUACGGGCAAUAUCUUCUUUAAGGAAAGUCGUUCUCACUCCUCAAGCCUUCUUAAAUUUCGUUUUUGUUAUUAUUUUUCUAACAAUCUUAAAGAAGAUAAUCUGCUAUGGAGAAUAUUUUGUUCGCCGUUGAAGUGUGGCCACAACCUAUGCCAUCUAAUUCUGUAUGUUGUGACAGUGAGACUACCAUAUUAGUGGCUCACUAUAAGAUAUAUAAUGGGAAAUCAAGACAUAUAAGCUUGAGGCACGCUUACAUAAGAGAAUUAGUCACAAAUGGAACUAUAACUAUUGUGUAUGUGAGAUCGAAUAAGAAUUUGGCAGAUCCACUUACCAAACCAUUAACGAAAAAUGUAGUACAACAAACUUGUGAAGGAAUGGGGCUAAAAGCUCUAAAUUAAAUACAAGCGACAGGAACCCUACUUUGAGUUAGUAUACACUAUAACAAAAUAAGUUCAAUGAGGUAAUAACAAGAUGUUUUGCAUUGCUUUGCUUAAGCACUGAUCUCCUUUCAGAGCCUUAAUUCCAAUGUACUACAUAUUGUUAUGGGAGGAGUCAAGAAGUUGUUAAAUAUAUGAAAUAACUACGGAAAAAUAACAAACUUCGUGGUGCAAACUGUUACACGAAGAAGUUGAAUUAAAUCUUAAUGAAAUUAGUAAAUGUUUGUAGUAACAGGAACAUUGUAGCUAAUUUCAACUAUAUGGUUAUUGAAGUGGUGCCGCUUCAGGCAAGGUUUAAGGGGUUGAUCUUGUAAAUAUUCAUGAAGUCAGGAUGAGCACAUGGCCAUAAACGUGCUAAAGCAAAUACUAGAUUUUCUUAGCCACUGUAUAAUAUUGUGCGUGUGAUAUUUUCGGUUUUGACACAAGGAGUUGUGGUUCAAACCUUUAAGGUACCAGUAACUUCGUCAAGACUUUAAGAUAUUUACAUUAAUAGAAAGUUCAAAUCAAAAUAAAAUACUCUUCAAUAUGCGUAAUAUUAUGAGAAUAGUGGGGGACUGAAAGAUAGUUUGUUAUAAUGAAGUUGGAAAAGUGGGACUUGUCCCACAUCGGUAGUACAAUGCCACUUUGUGUGCUUUUAAGUCCUUGUUCUUUUAUGUGUUUAAUUUAAAACACAUACUCUUAUAUAUGUGUAAAUACAUAUAUAGUAUAUUAUAUAUAUAUUAAUAAUAAAGACUUGGACUUGGACUUGGGGUUUGGCGGCGGGCCGGGUCGGACCUACAAUAAAUAUUUUAUUUUUAUUUAUUUUACAAUUAAAUAUGUUUUAUUUGAAAUUUAAAUUUUAAAUUUUAAAUUUAUUUGAAUAAACAGAUGCAUCUGUUUAUGAAAGAACACAUCUUUUUUUCAAAGGUCCGAUGAUUGUCUAUAAAUAGAAGUUCUUCCAACAAAGUGGAUAUGAAAAAUUUGCAGUAUAUUUUUGGCUUGUUGUAUCUUCUUUAAAGAAAGUCGUUCUCACGCCUCAAACCUUCUUCAAUUUCGUUUUCUGUUAUAAUUUUUCUAACACUAUUAGCUGCAUCAAUAUCAAAGAAGACUUUUCAAAUGGUGUAAACCAAAGGUUACGAUAGUAGUGGGCCAUUAUGCUAUAAGAAUAAAACAUGAUAAGGAAUGGAAGAUGCGUCUCUUAUGAGAAAAAGGUACCUUUUCAAGAAAACAUACAUAUGCCUUUAACAUGGUAAAAAAUUUCUCUGUCCCUCUAAAGGCUCGUCGGCUUUUCCUGUCCAUAUAAACCAAUGACACUUAUGUUAGUUAUAAAGUUGCAUAAUAAUCCCACGUACACAAAGACACUGAGAGUCGUAAAUGCAAGGAAGCAAAUAAAGAUACUAAAUUUUAGCAGUCAAAAGUAACUCAAUUCAUAACUUAAAAGCACAUUUCGGAUUGUUGACUCAGUUUACAGUAGAGAUGCCUUUAGGUUGCUGAAUUAUAUAUGAGUACUUGGUAGAAUAUCUGUCACAAGAGAAAAGGAAAAAAAUAUUAUUCAGUUGGUUCAAGCAUAUUAUCAAACACCCUCGAUGUACCAACGUACUAAUUCAAUAUAGUUACGGAAUGUGAGUAAAAUAUCCAAUAAGCAACUAUAGAUUCAAAUUUUUCCGGAGAAUAGUGAGAAUCAACAUUUAUAAAAUUGAGUGAUUUUCAGCAAUUCUUCUUUCGAAUCUCAACAAACCAAAAGUACAUUUAUGUUUCUUUUUCCUGAGAUUCUUAGUAGUCGGGAAACAGAACAUUCACAAAAAAAUCAAAAAGAAAACGGAAAUUACAUGUAGAGAGACAAUUA